This 317-nucleotide unclassified non-coding RNA is filed under the name Hevea brasiliensis (rubber tree). The record is from RNAcentral. Lineage: Eukaryota; Viridiplantae; Streptophyta; Magnoliopsida; Malpighiales; Euphorbiaceae.
UUGCUGAGGAAUUUUGAAUUGGAGCUGGUGUCUCCUUUUCCUGAGAUUGACUGGAAUGCAAUGGUCGUAGGUGUGAAAGGAAAGGUAAUGGUGCGUUACAAGCGCCGGGAGCUUUCAGUUGCCUAGCGGGAAUAACAGCAUUGUGGAUGUUUUGCAGAUUUAAAAUGUUAUGCUUUCUAGGAUUUGAUUGUGCUUUGAUUUUUUUUUUUUUUUUCCUUUUAUGUUUCUAGGAGGUGCUUCACCCUCCUUCACUGGAUUGUGGCUUUGUCUAGUUUCCAAAAUUUUAUGAUAAUUGAUGUAGUUUGUGGGGAAAAAAA